AGAAUAGUAAUGACGGAAUAAGUAAACCACUUGCAAAUUUUCAGAGAGUCGGCAUACGGUGGAAGUCGACAAUGAGCGGUGGAAGAAGAUCCCUCCGGAACUGUGUUUCUGAACGUUAGUAAGAAAUACCGGGUUAGCCACGUUAUUUGGCUUAGGUUUGAUAGAACUGAAGAGGCAUUGUUGUGCAAUAAAGGUGGUAACGCGGGUAAUAACUCGUCCUUGGA
Molecule: non-coding RNA, 224 nt
Filed under: Pelosinus fermentans
Lineage: Bacteria; Bacillati; Bacillota; Negativicutes; Selenomonadales; Sporomusaceae
Description: T-box sequence
Rfam family: T-box leader
About the family: Uncharged tRNA acts as the effector for transcription antitermination of genes in the T-box leader family. T-boxes are found upstream of many aminoacyl-tRNA synthetase genes and some amino acid biosynthetic genes usually in Gram-positive bacteria.
Source: RNAcentral